UACGUAGGGGGCAAGCGUUGUCCGGAAUCAUUGGGCGUAAAGCGCGUGUAGGCGGCUCGGUAAGUCUGCUGUGAAAGUCCAGGGCUCAACCCUGGGAUGCCGGUGGAUACUGUCGAGCUCGAGUCCGGAAGAGGCGAGUGGAAUUCCUGGUGUAGCGGUGAAAUGCGCAGAUAUCAGGAAGAACACCUAUGGCGAAGGCAGCUCUCUGGGACGGUACUGACGCUGAGACGCGAAAGCGUGGGGAGCGAACAGG
RNAcentral lists this ribosomal RNA (253 nucleotides) under uncultured bacterium. RNAcentral's name for it is "partial 16S ribosomal RNA". It matches the Rfam family "Bacterial small subunit ribosomal RNA", at positions 524 to 776 of the family's 1533-position model. The record is from RNAcentral.